CCUACGGGAGGCUGCAGUGAGGAAUAUUGGUCAAUGGACGAGAGUCUGACCCAGCGAAGUAGCGUGAAGGAUGACUGCCCUAUGGGUUGUAAACUUCUUUUAUAUGGGAAUAAAAUGUUCCACGUGUGGGACUUUGUAUGUACCAUAUGAAUAAGGAUCGGCUAACUCCGUGCCAGCAGCCGCGGUAAUACGGAGGGUACGAGCGUUAUCCGGAUUUAUUGGGUUUAAAGGGAGCGUAGGUUGAUUGUUAAGUCAGUUGUGAAAGUUUGCGGCUCAACCGUAGAAUUGCAGUUGAAACUGGCAGUCUUGAGUACAGUAGAGGUGGGCGGAAUUCGAGGUGUAGCGGUGAAAUGCUUAGAUAUCACGAAGAACUCCGAUUGCGAAGGCAGCUAACUGGACUGCAACUGACGCUGAGGCUCGAAAGUGUGGGUAGCAAACAGGAUUAGAUACCCCUGUAGUC
This 460-nucleotide ribosomal RNA is filed under the name uncultured bacterium. RNAcentral describes it as "partial 16S ribosomal RNA". It matches the Rfam family "Bacterial small subunit ribosomal RNA", at positions 338 to 795 of the family's 1533-position model. The record is from RNAcentral.